GAUCAAUGCGGUCAAAAAUCUUAAAAACUCUCAUCCAUUCCCGUUUCUUUUCUUAAGUGUUUUUACUUGAUUUUGUAAGUAUCUUAAACUUUGAUUUGUGAUUUGAUGGCUUCUUCACAUUCAGAAUGGGGGAUUUAGAUAUAAGCCAGGUUGCUUCUGAGAUGGGGUCACCAUAAUCAUGAUCUUAUUAAAGCCAAUAGCUCUAGAUAGAGUGUUUUACCUCUUAGGAAGGGUCAGGCAGUUGACGAGGUGGGUUAGGGGCUACCAAAAUUCCUUCCAUUGUAACUGCAUCCCACUUGGUAGACCUUAGGGAAAAAUAUUGUAUUCCAUAGAAUAUAGAACUUUUAUCCCCAUCUCCUGAUGAGCAAGCAUGCUUUUCUAGGUAGGGGUGCAUCUCUGUUAGUGAGUUUCUUCUAAAGGUAGGACUUCGUUUGCCUCUUCACCUCUUCUUUAGAGUCGUUACCGGGUUACACGGGUUGACUCACACCCAGCUCGUCCCCAAUGCUUGGUCCUAAUUAGUGGAAGCCUAUUUUCUGUAGAAGAAGAUCUCCUUUGGCAAGAACAUGUCCUUCCACAUUUUUUAGACCAUUUUCUAACCAAAGGUCUUAGGAAAAGGAGAUUCUAAAGGAUGGUACUCACUCCGUCUGUUGGUGUCACAUUUCGCAUUUGUCACAAGCCUUCCCUCCUCUAUCAAAGGAUAGAAUGAGGUGUGUUUCUAGGUAAGGGAAUAGUGCCAGAUGUGCGAGGGAAACAGUCCCCCUUGUGAUAGCUCAAAACUCCUACUAAAAAGCUUGUAAGUGUUAUAUCUUUAGUUAACUUUUACUUGUGAUUGAUUUGGUUCUAACCCUUUUUCUUCUUUCACGGGAUCGGUUGACCCCUUCAAACUGAGCCGAACAAAGUUGGAGGUUAUUGAAGAUAUCUACUUCCAUUCUUUAUCUUCAAGGGAAUUUGAUCGUUUGAUUGUCUCCAAAAGAUUCUUAUAGGAGUUCUGCUUGAUGACCCGAAGAGAUAACUUCACUUUUCAUCAUGGUUUUUUACUUGUUUGUAGACUUAUGCUAACCUCAUUUGUUUUACAUAAAGUUUUGAAAAGAGGAGGCAUCCCACAUCUGACAUGGCCGUUAUACUUGCUGCACCUUUAUUACCAGGAGGAAAGGGUUGAAGUCCUCAUCUAUUGCAGCAAAACAAGUUAGGCACCAAGUAGAGAGGAUCGGUAAGGGAUGACCUCCUACAAAAGAUAAUGGAAAGAAUACAGUGGAGAAGGUGCCCAAGAAAAAAGUUCUGCCCAAGAAAAAAAUACAAAUUUUCUUCUACCGAAGAGGAUGGGUCACUGGUCAGCUGUUGUUAAUUUUAUACACCGCAUGUAUACGGGUUGUAACAAAUAAUAUAAUGGAC
Molecule: long non-coding RNA, 1392 nt
Filed under: Olea europaea (common olive)
Lineage: Eukaryota; Viridiplantae; Streptophyta; Magnoliopsida; Lamiales; Oleaceae
Description: long non-coding RNA (OEUR_LNC009342)
Source: RNAcentral